AUUGAACGCUGGCGGCAGGCCUAACACAUGCAAGUCGAGCGGUAGCACAGAGAGCUUGCUCUCGGGUGACGAGCGGCGGACGGGUGAGUAAUGUCUGGGAAACUGCCUGAUGGAGGGGGAUAACUACUGGAAACGGUAGCUAAUACCGCAUAAUGUCGCAAGACCAAAGUGGGGGACCUUCGGGCCUCAUGCCAUCAGAUGUGCCCAGAUGGGAUUAGCUAGUAGGUGGGGUAACGGCUCACCUAGGCGACGAUCCCUAGCUGGUCUGAGAGGAUGACCAGCCACACUGGAACUGAGACACGGUCCAGACUCCUACGGGAGGCAGCAGUGGGGAAUAUUGCACAAUGGGCGCAAGCCUGAUGCAGCCAUGCCGCGUGUGUGAAGAAGGCCUUCGGGUUGUAAAGCACUUUCAGCGGGGAGGAAGGCGAUGAGGUUAAUAACCUUGUCGAUUGACGUUACCCGCAGAAGAAGCACCGGCUAACUCCGUGCCAGCAGCCGCGGUAAUACGGAGGGUGCAAGCGUUAAUCGGAAUUACUGGGCGUAAAGCGCACGCAGGCGGUCUGUCAAGUCGGAUGUGAAAUCCCGGCUCAACCUGGGAACUGCAUUCAAACUGGCAGGCUAGAGUCUUGUAGAGGGGUAGAAUUCC
This 646-nucleotide ribosomal RNA is filed under the name Klebsiella sp. HPC70. RNAcentral's name for it is "bacterial SSU rRNA". It matches the Rfam family "Bacterial small subunit ribosomal RNA", at positions 28 to 670 of the family's 1533-position model. Lineage: Bacteria; Pseudomonadati; Pseudomonadota; Gammaproteobacteria; Enterobacterales; Enterobacteriaceae. The record is from RNAcentral.